GCUGGGCAUGGUGGCGCAUGCCUGUAAUCCCAGCUACUCAGGAGGCUGAGGCAGGAGAAUUGCCUGAACCCAGGAGAUUGAGGUUGCAGUGAGCCAAGAUCGCAUCAUUGCACUCCAGCCUGGGUAACAAGAGCAAAACUCUGUCUCAA
Molecule: unclassified non-coding RNA, 149 nt
Organism: Callithrix jacchus (white-tufted-ear marmoset)
Lineage: Eukaryota; Metazoa; Chordata; Mammalia; Primates; Cebidae
Rfam family: Metazoan signal recognition particle RNA
About the family: The signal recognition particle (SRP) is a universally conserved ribonucleoprotein. It is involved in the co-translational targeting of proteins to membranes.
Source: Ensembl